Solanum stenotomum is the source of this 1085-nucleotide long non-coding RNA. RefSeq lists it as uncharacterized. Lineage: Eukaryota; Viridiplantae; Streptophyta; Magnoliopsida; Solanales; Solanaceae. The transcript has 2 exons. The record is from RefSeq and is a predicted model, not a curated record.
GAAAGAAAGGCAAUCAAUUAGUUAUUCGUCAAAGUUUCAUUUAUUCAAUGACCAGAAUUAAACGGGGAUAUAUAGCUCGGAGACGUAGAACAAAAAUUCGUUUAUUUGCAUCAAGCUUUCGAGGGGCUCAUUCAAGGCUUACUAGAACUAUUACUCAACAGAAAAUAAGAACUUUAGUUUCGGCUCAUCGGGAUAGGGAUAAGAAAAAGAGAGAUUUUCGUCGUUUGUGGAUCACUAGGAUAAACGCAGUAAUUCGCGAAAGGGGAGUAUCCUAUAGUUAUAGUAGAUUAAUACACGAUCUGUACAAGAGACAGUUGCAUCUUAACCGUAAAAUACUUGCACAAAUAGCUAUAUCAAAUAGGAAUUGUCUUUAUAUGAUUUCGAACGAAAUCAUAAAGGAAGUAGAUUGGAAAGAAUCCACCAGAAUAAUUUAAAUGGAGUUACCCGGAGAAUGAACUCCGGGAAGGUAGAGUAGAAAUUAGUAUGAGAAAAUAUACUUAGAUAGUCAAAAUGAAUGAACACAUUCAAUUCAAUAAAAACAGAUUUCUUUUUUUCCGAUUCAUUUUUUUCUUACGACACGAUACUCAAAUCUAGAUUCUUGUAAUUAUGAUUCAAGUGAAGAAAAAGUAAGCCUAUUUAUUUCGGGCUUUAAAACCAGUAGUUCUAGAGGUCGACUCGGUUCUUUCAAAUUGUUUCUCAUUAUUGAGAAAAGGUAACAAAGAUAAAAUACGAGCUUGUUUAAUAGCAAGAGUAAUUAAUCGUUGUUGUUUCAAGGUCAAUCUAUUCACACGUCUUGAUAAUAUUUUUCCUUGUUCACUAAUAAAUCGACUAAUUAAACUCAUGUUUCUAUAAUCAAUUCGAUCCCCCGAUUGAAUCGUGGGCAAACGCCUACGAAAAGAUCGCUUGAAUUUAAGAAAAGGUCGCUUGGAUUUAUCCAUGGUUUGUUUGUUUAAUUUAUUCCUUAUCCCUAAAAUCCUAUUUCUUCAUUCUAAUUCAUUUUAAAUCCACUCAAAAUAGGAUUUUUCAAAAAUAGGAUUUGUUUAUUUUCUAUUUAAAUAUGUUAUAUAUAUAAUGUCAUUUUUUCC